This 253-nucleotide ribosomal RNA is filed under the name uncultured bacterium. RNAcentral describes it as "partial 16S ribosomal RNA". It matches the Rfam family "Bacterial small subunit ribosomal RNA", at positions 524 to 776 of the family's 1533-position model. The record is from RNAcentral.
UACAGAGGUCCCAAGCGUUGUUCGGAUUCACUGGGCGUAAAGGGUGCGUAGGUGGCGGGGUAAGUCUGAUGUGAAAGCUUCGAGCUCAACUCGAAAAUGGCAUUGGAUACUAUUCUGCUGGAGGUUUGGAGGGGGGACUGGAAUUCUCGGUGUAGCAGUGAAAUGCGUAGAUAUCGAGAGGAACACCGGUGGCGAAGGCGAGUCCCUGGACAACACCUGACACUGAGGCACGAAAGCUAGGGGAGCAAACAGG